This 301-nucleotide ribosomal RNA is filed under the name uncultured archaeon. Its description in RNAcentral is "bacterial SSU rRNA". It matches the Rfam family "Bacterial small subunit ribosomal RNA", at positions 496 to 795 of the family's 1533-position model. The record is from RNAcentral.
UCUACGUACGUGCGCGCUUCUACUGUGUUACGUGGUGUGCUAGCGUUUCCUGGAUUUACUGUGUUCAAAGUGGUCGUAGUUGGUUUGGCUGGUCGUCUUUUAAAUUCCGGGGCUUAACUCCGGGCGUGCAGGCGAUACGGGCAUAACUUGAGUACUGUAGGGGAGACUGUAAUUCCUGGUGUAGCGGUGAAAUGCGCAGAUAUCAGGAGGAACACCGGUGGCGAAGGCGGGUCUCUGGGCAGUAACUGACGCUGAGUAUCGAAAGCAUGUGGAGCGAACAGGAUUAGAUACCCGUGUAGUC